This 76-nucleotide transfer RNA is filed under the name Microtetraspora sp. NBRC 13810. Its description in RNAcentral is "tRNA-Leu". It matches the Rfam family "tRNA". From Rfam's summary of the family: Transfer RNA (tRNA) molecules are approximately 80 nucleotides in length. Their secondary structure includes four short double-helical elements and three loops (D, anti-codon, and T loops). The record is from RNAcentral. Lineage: Bacteria; Bacillati; Actinomycetota; Actinomycetes; Streptosporangiales; Streptosporangiaceae.
GCCGUUCUAGCCCAACCGGCAGGAGGCACCGCGUUCAGGACGCGGACAGUCAGGGUUCGAAUCCCUGGAACGGCAC